UCACACAGUGAAAAUGGCAUGCUUGCGAUU
This 30-nucleotide non-coding RNA is filed under the name Mus musculus (house mouse). The record is from RNAcentral. Lineage: Eukaryota; Metazoa; Chordata; Mammalia; Rodentia; Muridae.